RNAcentral lists this unclassified non-coding RNA (329 nucleotides) under soil metagenome. Its description in RNAcentral is "partial contains 5.8S ribosomal RNA, internal transcribed spacer 2, and large subunit ribosomal RNA". The stretch from base 1 to 120 matches the Rfam family "5.8S ribosomal RNA", at positions 35 to 154 of the family's 154-position model. The record is from RNAcentral.
GAUGAAGAACGCAGCGAAAUGCGAUAAGUAAUGUGAAUUGCAGAAUUCAGUGAAUCAUCGAAUCUUUGAACGAACAUUGCGCCCCUUGGUAUUCCGAGGGGCAUGCCUGUUCGAGCGUCAUUAUAACCCCUCAAGCUCAGCUUGGUGUUGGGGCCUGCUGCACUGGCAGCCCUUAAAAUCAGUGGCGGCGCCAUCUGGCUCUAAGCGUAGUAAUUCUUCUCGCUAUGGAGUCCUGGUGGAUGCUUGCCAUCAACCCCCAAUUUUUCUAUGGUUGACCUCGGAUCAGGUAGGGAUACCCGCUGAACUUAAGCAUAUCAAUAAGCGGAGGA